GUGAAUCAUCAAAUUUUUGAACGCAAAUUGCACUUUCUGGUAUUCCGGAAAGUAUGUCUGUUUGAGGGUCUGAUAAAUAACAUUCGGUGUUGUUGCUGCUUUUCGUGGUGACGAGUCGGAAUUUAUUUGUCUUACCUUCGGUUAAGUGACUUAAAAUUUUGCUUGAUUUUAGAACGUAUUUAAAUAUCUUACGCACGUUUGAGAUAUCGUAUACUUUUUUAGUAUCGGUCAUCCUCAUAACUCACACCUAUAAUUUUUCAUUAAUUGCU
This 269-nucleotide unclassified non-coding RNA is filed under the name Glomus sp. RNAcentral's name for it is "partial contains 5.8S ribosomal RNA and internal transcribed spacer 2". The stretch from base 1 to 71 matches the Rfam family "5.8S ribosomal RNA", at positions 84 to 154 of the family's 154-position model. Lineage: Eukaryota; Fungi; Glomeromycota; Glomeromycetes; Glomerales; Glomeraceae. The record is from RNAcentral.